Long non-coding RNA from Populus nigra (black poplar), 1265 nucleotides. RefSeq lists it as uncharacterized. NCBI's taxonomy places the organism in Eukaryota, Viridiplantae, Streptophyta, Magnoliopsida, Malpighiales, Salicaceae. The transcript has 2 exons. The record is from RefSeq and is a predicted model, not a curated record.
AUGAGAGGGUAUGCGUGCAUGAAAGCUAUCUUGAUAUGCUCAUUUUGGUCAAUGGUCAGUCUUUUUUAUAUAUAUAUAUUACUAAUAUACAAAUGGAUUCGCUGCUAAAAGCUAAAUAUUUCUGAUUGCGAGAGAAAGCAAAGUGGUUUUGGAGGUUAAAGUUAUGAUGACACUUGUGGAUGAUAUAUACCCUUUGGAAUGAAAGAAGUCUCUGUUUGUAAUAAUACCCUCUUUAGCUCUCCUCAUUUUCCCUGGAAGAAUAAAAUUAUGAUAAAAAUGAAAUUUUUGUGUUCUUAAAGCUCAACAAAUAAUUAAAUAACAAAAUCACCACUAAAGAACUCUCUCUUUGCCAAAAAUGAAACCUAGCCACCGGCUUGAAUUCAGUUCUAUCAUCCGCGCCCAAGAAGGCCAAAAAUAUUGCUACCUGUUGCUUAUUUCCCUUUCAAGUGAUGAGAUGCAGAGACACAAGGACAAUUUUCUGAUGGUGGCUAUUCAUCUUCUCUCUGAGUACAGGGUUGGAGAUAGCACCCACCGCAGAGAAUGAAGACUCUAAAGAAUUAAACCCUAGGAAAAACCUGGAGGGAGGAUAUUAGAGGAGUCCGGCUAGUUUUGUUGUUGUUUUGUGUUUUUAAAUCUUGGGGGUUUUCUUAUGUUAGAUUUCUUUAGGCGUUAUGGGUUUAAGAGGAGGAGAUCGAUUUAUUGCUGGGUGGUUCAGGUUAGUGUUGAGAGGGUUAUGGUUUGAGGAGAUCGGGUCGGUGGCUGUGUGGUUGGGUUGGAUUUGUGACUGGAACGAAGUGGUUGGGCGGUGGUGCUUUAGGGGGUUGCUAGGUCGUGCUGUGGUGAGAGGGGCAGAUGUAGGGAGGCUCGGCCACAAUGGAGCUUGGGUGUCAUGGCGAAUCGGGAUCGUUGGAGUAAGAGACUGUUGAGGGGAACAAUAGGUGAGGUGUUGGCGGCAGCACUAGGCUUCUGGCAGUGGCUAGUGGGUAUGAGAGGAAGGAACAACAACCAGUCUUUAAUGGUUGGAAAAGGUGGUUUUCGAUGGUGAUUGGGCGAAGAUUAGGCUGUGAUGUGAUUGGAGUUCUGUGAUGGAAGAGGAAGUAUAGUUGCGUUGGUUUGGCCAGAAUCUAGCGAGAAAAGGUAAAAGGGGAGACUGACGACUCUUUGUUGGUGUUUCAGCAAAAUUUAGUUGUUUAUGUUAAUAUUAUAUAUGACGGUGGAUUUUUUUUAAAUCUAAGUUUAAAAAUUAAACUGGACUUUAAUGUAAA